GUGAAGUCGUCAAUGUCUACAGCUUCAGCUAUUGCCCCUGUGUGCAGAUGGUGCUUAUUUUCCCUUGUGCCUUCCAGACUUGCAUUCCAGCCACCUACCAAACCCCUUUCCUUGGAUGCCAAGAAAAGUCUUCAGACCGUGGACAGUGUACUCUUUGUCUGUAUUAUGGAGAAAGGCGUUCCCUAGGAUGAUGACACAAGGAUUUAAUGAGUAGAAGACAACAACUUAAAACCUCUCAUUUGAGCAUGACUUGUCUAGGUUAAAGGUGGGCAUUGAGAUCCCAUUAGCUACUGGCACAAUUGCGAAAAUAAAUGUACAUAUGCACAGACACACUUUAAAGCAAGAAGUCAUAAAAAUACAGCGAUGCCUGUUUCUACUCAGACCCAAAAAUGGAAUUAAAGCCAAAACUUACCCCUCUACUAAUUAGAGAAGUAAAAAUGUCUUCACCCUAAGCGUCCCAGCACAACGUGAAUCCAAAACAAGCUGCUUUCUUUGGAUUCCACUUAUUUAUUUACUUUUAAAAGAAUAUUUGAAGAAAAUGACGCCCAGUAAAAGAACAGUUGGAGAAAACAUGGGACACCAUACAUUGGAAGAGAAAUGUAG
This is a long non-coding RNA of Piliocolobus tephrosceles (Ugandan red Colobus), 603 nucleotides long. RefSeq lists it as uncharacterized. The transcript has 3 exons. NCBI's taxonomy places the organism in Eukaryota, Metazoa, Chordata, Mammalia, Primates, Cercopithecidae. The record is from RefSeq and is a predicted model, not a curated record.